Molecule: ribosomal RNA, 320 nt
Filed under: uncultured bacterium
Lineage: Bacteria
Description: bacterial SSU rRNA
Rfam family: Bacterial small subunit ribosomal RNA
Source: RNAcentral
UGACGGUACCUUAGGAGGAAGCCCCGGCUAACUACGUGCCAGCAGCCGCGGUAAUACGUAGGGGGCGAGCGUUGUCCGGAAUGACUGGGCGUAAAGGGCGUGUAGGCGGCCUGUUAAGUUAGGAGUGAAAGUCCCGCUUUCAAGGUGGGAACUGCUUUUAAUACUGAUGGGCUUGAGUGCAGAAGAGGUAAGUGGAAUUCCCAGUGUAGCGGUGAAAUGCGUAGAGAUUGGGAGGAACACCAGUGGCGAAGGCGACUUACUGGGCUGUAACUGACGCUGAGGCGCGAAAGCGUGGGGAGCAAACAGGAUUAGAUACCCUG